Long non-coding RNA from Haplochromis burtoni (Burton's mouthbrooder), 1541 nucleotides. RefSeq lists it as uncharacterized. The record is from RefSeq and is a predicted model, not a curated record. The transcript is spliced from 4 exons. NCBI's taxonomy places the organism in Eukaryota, Metazoa, Chordata, Actinopteri, Cichliformes, Cichlidae.
AACACGAGUAAGCUGUUCUGUGAACCUGGGAGCCACACAGCUGAAGAAGAAGCUCAAAAAACUAAAGCGCAAAUCAAGUCAAAGCUUGCUGGUUACUCUCUGCUCCUCAGCAUGACUGUUGUAGCUUUCUUCAUGACUUGGAGUGGGUGGAGAAAAUGGUUUAAAAAAAAUACAGUUGGUGCAACAAGAAAACUUUUUACUACAAACUGAUUUUGGAAGAAGAGAAAAAAGUUCUGGAGGAGCUUUUGAGGAAAGAAGCAAAUGAAACUCUGACUAAAGAAAUCACGAGCAACAUAAAAAGGAAAGACUGGGACGGCUGUUUUAACGUUGCUCAACAAAUGAUCAGUAAUGCAAAACAUCAAAAACCAGAAGCAACCAACCAGCAGAUCAACUGGAUCAGUGAGGGGAGCUCCAGCAGAGGGGGACAGCAUCAUCAAGCAGCAGCACAUCAGCAGGCACAAAACUAUGAACUUGAAGCAGUGGCACAAGAAAACAGAGACACCAUGCCGUUAUUUAACGAAUCCGCCUGAAAGAACAUCAAGUGAUGCAGCUCCAGAAACAUCGCAAGUGACCACAGACAAGUUAUACACCUUGUCAGGCGACGUGAGGUCUAGAGAGAGAGAGGUCGGAUAAAAGUUCUUAAUAUCCAGCCUUAUGUGAUUAUAAAUGGAUUGGGAUGAAUCUGCAAAAUGUUUUUGGAAAGGCAAGCAGGAGACUGUUGUUGUAGAGUAGAUUGAGGAGACUGAAUCUGUUCAGUUGCAAACAGAAAGUUCAGUAUCUUGCAAAACAAACACGUUUAAAACAAGACAAGAAAAAAGAAGAAAAAAAGUUCAAAUGUUCUGUUCUAAAUCUGCUGUGUUCUACAAAUGAAUUCGAGAAUUGGAAAAGGAAAAUAGGAAAAGACAUAUUUUUUUUGUUUUUGUUUUUAAAUCCUAUGCCAACUCUUUUUAGCUUUGUAAAUAUUGGCUACAUUUUUAUUAUUAUUGGGCUAUCCUAGGAUAAAUGUUAUUUUGUUGGUUCUAAAGAUCUGGAUGAAUAUUUUACUUUAUUCUUUAUUGUAAUUUUUUAUCCUGUUUUUCAGUUUUAUUUUUCAAGACUUGGUGAAUUGACCUUUAUUUUUACAACUUGGCUUACACUUUUUAGUAUGUUGGCAAUAAUGAGAAGUGUUUUUCAGUUUCUUAGCCCCCUUGACAUGGUCGGGGGGGGGUUGCAUGCCUCAAUGACAUUGGUCAGUUCUUAGGGUAGAUGCCUGACAAUCCGAUUACAUGACAAAAACAGUUAUUCAGAGCACCCCACCACCACCCCACCCCUUUCCUGUCUCUGUUGCCACCAUUUGCCUCCUUUACAUUUCCGUCUGCCCCCUCAUGUAUGCCUGUCUAGAACCGGGUUGUUAUUAUUGCAAAAUCUUCAUCCAGCUAUUUGUUUUUAGGAGCCCUUUUUUGUCAAGUGGUGGGUUACCACCAUCGCAGCUUUUGAGAUGUAUCUACAGAUUCAAAUUGAUCUUAUAUUUUUCAUUAAAUAAUAAAAUAUUUCAGUUUAAA